UACAGAGGUCCCAAGCGUUGUUCGGAUUCAUUGGGCGUAAAGGGUGUGUAGGUGGCGCCGUAAGUCGGGUGUGAAAUCUCGGGGCUUAACUCCGAAACUGCAUUCGAUACUGCGGUGCUUGAGGACUGGAGAGGAGACUGGAAUUCAUGGUGUAGCAGUGAAAAUGCGUAGAGAUCAUGAGGAAGACCAGUGGCGAAGGCGGGUCUCUGGGACAGUUCCUGACACUGAGCACGAAGGCCGGGGAGCAAAACGGG
This 254-nucleotide ribosomal RNA is filed under the name uncultured bacterium. RNAcentral's name for it is "partial 16S ribosomal RNA". It matches the Rfam family "Bacterial small subunit ribosomal RNA", at positions 524 to 776 of the family's 1533-position model. The record is from RNAcentral.